Molecule: ribosomal RNA, 484 nt
Filed under: uncultured bacterium
Lineage: Bacteria
Description: partial 16S ribosomal RNA
Rfam family: Bacterial small subunit ribosomal RNA
Source: RNAcentral
AUUGAACGCUGGCGGCAGGCCUAACACAUGCAAGUCGAGCGGAUGAAGGGAGCUUGCUCCUGGAUUCAGCGGCGGACGGGUGAGUAAUGCCUAGGAAUCUGCCUGGUAGUGGGGGAUAACGUCCGGAAACGGGCGCUAAUACCGCAUACGUCCUGAGGGAGAAAGUGGGGGAUCUUCGGACCUCACGCUAUCAGAUGAGCCUAGGUCGGAUUAGCUAGUUGGCGGGGUAAAGGCCUACCAAGGCGACGAUCCGUAACUGGUCUGAGAGGAUGAUCAGUCACACUGGAACUGAGACACGGUCCAGACUCCUACGGGAGGCAGCAGUGGGGAAUAUUGGACAAAGGGCGAAAGCCUGAUCCAGCCAUGCCGCGUGUGUGAAGAAGGUCUUCGGAUUGUAAAGCACUUUAAGUUGGGAGGAAGGGCAGUAAGUUAAUACCUUGCUGUUUUGACGUUACCGACAGAAUAAGCACCGGCUAACUUCGUG